Bombus pyrosoma is the source of this 5601-nucleotide long non-coding RNA. RefSeq lists it as uncharacterized. The record is from RefSeq and is a predicted model, not a curated record. The transcript has 8 exons. Lineage: Eukaryota; Metazoa; Arthropoda; Insecta; Hymenoptera; Apidae.
UUGGUUGUAACCGAGGAUAAAGACGCCAUCAUUUCCAUUCCACGGAAUUAACCAGUUCAGCAUGAAAUACAAUUUCGUGUUGGUUAAUUUCGCAGCUGCUUUGAAUCGGGAAUCACAACGUUUAACGAUUCGUCAAGUGUAACUACUGUGUAACUUAUUAGACUUGCUUCCAUGUGCGCCAAUACACCGGAUGUGAAUAAUGAAUUUGUUUGUAAUGGUAAAUAACAGCCAGCAACGGUGACGAGGUUAGGAAUGAUUCAUCAAUUCGAAAAAUAUCCAAGGAACCGCGAUGCUCGAUUAAAUUUCACAUCGUAAUUAGAGGGAUUUGUAUUUGACAUGACCGCGGAAUAUUUUGACGGCGAAAAGCUAUGUUCUGUUGACAGAUCGUGAAAACCGUCGCUCUUUUUUCGCGAAUCCUGUCCGUGAAAAUCGAACAUGGCUAGGCAACCUUUGUCACUGGACGUCCGGCUGGCAUCAAAGGACGCCGCAGAAAUAAUUCAAGUAUAAAUGAAAAGGGGCAAGAGGGAAGAAAGAUCAGGGGUUGUCGUCGACAAAGAGCCGGUCGACAGAGAUAGAUGGAUGACGGAACGGAGAUCGAUAUAGGGGUCAUCAACUGCGGUGUGAAAAAGGAUGCGCUCUAACAAUGAGAAUUAGAGAUCGAAUUCGCAGUAGAGAAAGGGAUAUAUUGCAUAGCAUAGAGAUACAAUAUAAUAUGUAAUAUCCGUACGAUGCUGUUCAAACAUCGAUCUUUUAUUUAAUGGGAGGCUAGUUUAAUGUUUUUAAUGAAAAAGCGGUGAUAUGACCGUCACGAACCGUUGAGACACGCUAGAUAUUCGAGAUCGAAAUGUCGAGAAGCUGACACGGAAACUGAGUGAAGAUUAAGAUAUCUACACGCAAGAAGAAGGAAAUUGGUCGCGGAGAAGGCGAGAUGAAAAUUUUCAACGGGACAAAACAAACGAAAAUAUCAGCGGAGACAUUGUGAAACCACGGGAUAGGUAUCCUUGAAUAAAGAAAAAAUAUAAAAGAAAGGAAAACAAGACGAUAAAAGAUAAUAAAAGACGGCGACAGAAGUAAACGGAGUGAAGAAGAAGUCUAGGGAAACCGAAAUCCUCCAGGAAAUGGAAAAAUCAAGAAAAAUCAGCUGGCUCUGAACACUUGCCGAGACUGUGAACUUUAAAAGGAGGAAACUGCGGAGACAGGAAGCGACUGCUGCUUGGAAAAAUCCAGCUGCACUCUGGAGAUUAAGGAAAGGGGCCGCGAAGUCGAAAGAUUGGGUGUAACGGGUGGAAGAAGAAAUUAAGGGGAGAACAAACCCAGAUGGAACUUUAUAUAAUAGAGGAAGGGCAGAGAGAUCAUUUUAUUGUUAGAGAUAGAAAAUGUUAAUACACGAUACUUUGUGAUAAGUUGAAUAUACAUUUUAGAAACGAGGAAGUUCCAGCUCUGAAAUAAAAUAAAUAUCUGCUAUUAAAGACGGAAACAAUUUAUUGGUUAUUUUAAAAGAAGUAAAGUAUCUGUAUCCACUAUUAAGAAAAAGAAUUCUAAAAUGACUUGAAUUUUUAUAAUACAUACAUUGGACGCAAUAUUUUUAAAGAGAAGAAAUAAUUGUUCUGUGACAACAAAGAAGAUGAAUUUCGAUAUUUCAACAACUGUGAAGUAUUUCCUUAUUAACUAUUUUAGAAGAAUUGGAGUUAUUCCUACUAUGAAACAAGACAGAACGAACCCGAAUUUUUGCAAUGCAUUGGAUGCAGUAUCUUAAGAAAAAAAAUAUAAUUCUAACAAAAAAGGAGAAGAGGAAUUUUAAUAUUACAAAAUAUAUUAAACGCUACCAAAAUUAAUUUUCAUUACGAUUCACAGAAACAUCCACUUAAAUUUUUCUUGUGCAAAUUUUAUUCCAAUCGGUCGAUUCUAAACCACUCGAUUAAUUUUGCCGGUCGCUUAAGCCAAAGAGACCAUUAUUCUCGCGUACUUUCUGCGUACAGAUAUCCUCUGGAAAAUAUAACAAAACAAUUCCAGAAGCACGCCAUAAACUUGCUCCUAUUGUGUCCCGGGCAAAGAGAAGAGGUGUGGCGCUUUUCGACGCGCAGGAAUACCAGGGAUGCGUGAAUGAACAAAGAGAAGAGCCAGGAAGAGAAGUUAGAAGAGCAAGGAGCAAACGAAAGCCCGGGGGAAUCCAGAAAAUCCGCGUCGAAUGCCCUAGGAGCCGCAGAGGAGACUGCGUUGUAAAAAAAGGAAAACAAGAAGAGGAAAAAGAAGAAGUGAAAAAGGGGACAGGGAAUGGAAAGGUGUAAUAGUUGGCAGGAAGGAAAAAGAAACGCGUAGCGUAAGAGAAAAAAGCAAACAGACCGCGUGAAACGCGUCAGACUAGGCUCUCGCAAUCGCGGUCCACUUUGCUAACGAGCUUCUGGAGAUGCGUCGAAACGCAUAAAGCGCGGACACACCGCGUGUCUCGGCAAUUAUCGCGAUAAUUAUACCGUUGUUACAAUGCAACAGACCGGCUGGCUGCGACGCUUUGCCCGAGGACAAAAAAGGAUAACAGUAGUUUGAGGCUGACAUGUUUUAAUCUUCAGUAAUGGACGGUUGGAUGGGACUGGAAUGGCAAUUCGGUGGCGAAGUGUUAGUCGAGAUAAGGAACAGUAGGUGAUCUUGAUUUGAUAGCGACUGACGCGAGAAAUACCAGGGGAACAGACCGUGAAGAAUAAUUGUUUUUCGAGAACUGAAAAUGAGGGUUCUUCUUGAGAAAUUGGGGUGCAGUUGAGGGUGAAAAGCUAUUUUCCGUUGAAGUUGAAGAUUUAUGGAAUAUUCAGGUGGAUUUGAUGAUAGAGAAUUAUCUUUCUAAAGAUUGGUGAUUUAUUGGAAAUGUUGUAAAAAUGACAAAGUCGGUAAUGGAGAAUUCUUUUCUUAAAUAUUGCCAUUCUUCUAUACGGCCGACUAUGAUUAAAGAUUGUAUAAUUACAUAAGAGAUUAAUGUAAAGGAUUGUUCAAAAGUAAUAAUUUAAGAAGUGAUGUUACAAUUACAAACGUAUUCAAAGUUACUUAAUUAAUAUAAUUUUCUUUCUUUCGUCGGAGAAUACCAACCACCAGCUGAAUCUUCCACCAAGAUGAUUCCAGUGUUAUUGUAGACGUCACAGACUUGCAUCAAAGGUUUCCAGUAAAGAUCAUUCAAGACCUCUGCAACUAAAGCCAUAUGAAGCUAGCAGUUAAUUUCAUCAAGCACCUGAAGAUUUCAUCAAGGACUUCCUCCAGCCUUAUCAAAGAUUUUUUUGAGUACUCUCAGAGCAUAUUGGCUUCCCUUCGGUUCUAACUAGCAAAGAUUCUCAGAUGCAAGCCUGGCUGCUUAACUCAAAGGGUUUUCUACGGUUUCUCAAAGGGACGUGGCUUACACACACCUGGAAGCUUCCUAUCGACCUUGACUGGACAGAUUUAUUUCGAAUUCACCGGUUAAAACGUUUAUACGCUUCCUUGAAGAUCGUGUGUCGAGAGGCCGAGAUUUUUCUUGCAGACGAGGGACAUUAGCCAGCUAAACAUUAAGGGGAAUUACGCUAAUGAAUAUCUAACCAGAAACCCCAACGUUAAAGGGAAUUAUGCUAAUGAGCCUGGAGAGACACAGAGGGGGAUGAGGGAAAGGGAGACGCCUGUGCGUCUUGUUGCAUUAUCCACGAGAUAUUCGGAAGAGGAACGGAGACUUAAUUCGAGAGAAAUGCUGGAAGAAAUGAGAGAAGGAAGUGGAAGAUCCCCAACUCGACUCGAGUUUUCAUCUUUUGGUUUCGUAGACUGUUUCCUUCAUUUAUUAUGGCUGCUGGGCACUCUGCUUGCAUGCAAGCCUUCAUAAAUUUUGCGUACAAUAAAAGUGACGUAGCGAAGGUAUUCAGACUGUUACUUGGACACAGAAGACUAAGGCGGAAAUUUUUACUACGAAGAGAAACAGCUGCAGAGCGUGAACCUUGCGACCUAUCGCUCGCAGUUCAACGCGUAAUUCUGAAAUGCAGCAAAUUAGAUGAACCACGGAACAGAUUCAAGAUCCCCAAGGAACUCAAGGAAGCAUUCGGUACGGAACAAAGCAGAGAAAUCCUCCUGGAAUUCAUAAAAUCAAUAGACAUAUAGGACGAGAUCUGCAGACAAGAAAUACCGUUGCUAAUGACCGUGUUGUCGACACGAUGUUAAAGAAUGGAAGAAGAAGAAGAAGAAGAAGAAGAAGGGUUAUUUUUUCACGUAGUUCUUUUAAAAUCUGACUUUAUCAGUAAAGAAGAGUAAAGCUAAUAUUUGUUUCUUUCCUAUGAAAAUAUAGUACCAAAUGUCAGUAUUGCGAUCUCUGCUUUUUUAAUGUUCAAUAUUGAAAAAUUUCCAUAACGUUAGAAAUGUAAAAGUGGACUUAAUUAAAUGGAGCGUAGAAUGUAUGAUCGGAUAUCCAUGAAAAUCUUUUUUUCUCGUGAUCAUCAACUUUGUAAGAAUGACGUUAGAGAGACAAAAUGGUAUUCCGUGUUUGGCUUCUUUCCUCUAUUACUUUUUUCCUUCUAUUUCUAACUCGCUUAUUACCUGAGCUUGCAAGGAGCAAAAGCCAAACAUAAUAAUAAUAAUAAUAUUGCAAGUGCAUCUAUUGCCUAUCAAAUUUCCUAAUCUCUAUCAAGUAAAGGAUAAGAGACAGUUUUAUGUCAAAUUAGUCUGAAGCGAAAGAGACAUCGCUUGUGUUUUACGUACAUAAAAUACGUUUCUUUGUACACGUUUGGCUACAACUUCGAUGCGUUGCUGAUUUCUGUCAAUGCUUCCUUUCAAAAUAUUACAAAAUAUUACGACACUACAGACCAGACGAUAAUAGGAGUAUUUACCCUAAUCAAUAACAUCGAGCAAAUAAAUAUGCAUCUCGACAAGUUUCAACAAAGGAGCUCUCUCUUCAAGUUCCACAAACUUCUCCCAAUUUAGCCAGACGAGGCAGAGCCAUCCGAAAACAUUCGUCUGCCUGACUCCGAACGCACUUUUCCAAUUGCGGAACAAGGGGAAGGAAUUGUCUGGCGGCGAAAGUCCUGCGAGGAGAAGCAAUUAUCGCAACGUAUUCCAGACACUAUCGUUCUCAUGUUUUUAACGGGGCCAGACGCGAAACGAAGCCAAGGGAACCUUAGCCAAGAAGACGAUGCUUUAUACGUUGACUAGCCGAGCCAGGAUCCGGUUUAUAGCUCACGAGAAGUCUUCGUUGCAUUCUUAAAACUGUUCCAAAGGAACGUAAAUGUAUGCAUGCGGGAAGUUUGUCGCGCGAAUAAAGCGAUUCCACCCGACCAAGGGAUGAGGACGGGGGUGAAAAAAAUGGCCGUGGACGGGGGAAAGUUUUAAAAGUGAACGGAAGGCGGAGGGCGUGGGGGAAAAAUUGAGUUUCUACCGCGCAGACGGCGAAAAAACUUCCUGCAGACUGAACAGGAUUUCGACGCGGAAAGGAAACAGAGACGGAGAAUGGCUCGCUGAAUUCGAGAUGCGGGACGCGACAGCCAAGCGAAAGAUCAAAAAAAUGGCCAACCUUCGAUGCAUCGUCUUAUGAUACAUCUUGCACGCACGGUGGUUUGCAAGAAACGACGAUACGAGGAAAACGUGAAAAGUAUCCACGGCCGAGACGAA